RNAcentral lists this ribosomal RNA (1120 nucleotides) under uncultured organism. RNAcentral's name for it is "bacterial SSU rRNA". It matches the Rfam family "Bacterial small subunit ribosomal RNA", at positions 167 to 1300 of the family's 1533-position model. The record is from RNAcentral.
UACCGGAUGUGGCUGUAUGAACUGCGGUUCUAACAGUUAAAGAUUCAUCGCUUCGCGAUGAGCUCGCGGUCCAUCAGCUUGUUGGUGAGGUAACCGCUCACCACGGCCACGACCGAUAGAUGGUCUGAGAGGAUGCACCACCCACACUGAGACUGAGACACUGCCCAGACUCCUACGGGAGGCUGCAGUCGAGAAUCUUCCGCAAUGGGAGCACGCCUGACGGAACGAUGCUGCGUGCCGUACGAAGGCCUUCCGGUCGUAAACACGCUGUCACUCGGGACGAAUUUUGACGGUACCGACAGAGGAAGCCACGGCAUAACUACGUGGCAGCAGCCGCGAAUAAUACGUAGGUGGCCAGCGUUAUUCGGAAUUAUUGGGCCUAGAGCGGUUCCUAGGGGGUAAAGUACGUCCGGUGUGAAAUCUCGAGGCUCCACCUCGAAACUGCAUUGGAAACUGCAUUACUUGAGUGUCAGAGAGGAAAGCGGAAUUCCUGAUGUAGCCGUGGAAUGCGUAGAUCUCAUGAAGAACACCGACGGCGAAAGCAUCUUUCCGGCUGGCAACUGACCCUGAUGAACGAAAGCUAGGGUAGGGAACAAGAUUAGUUUCCCUGGUAGUACUAGCUGUAAACGUUGUUCACUGGAUGUGGGCGGAUUUGGUCCCGCCUGUGUCUGAACGGGCGGGUGAGUGCACCGCCUGGGGACUACAGCCGCAAGGCUAAAACUCAAAGGAAUUGACGGGGGACCGCACAAGCGGUGGAGCAUGUGGCUCAAUUCGAGGCAACGCGAGAGACCCUUUCCUGGGUUUGACAUAUUCCUGAGCGCCGGUGAGAGCCGGUUUCUCUUUGAGCAGGUAUACAGGUGCUGCAUGGCUGUCGACAGCUCGUGCUGUGAAGUGUUCGGUUAAGUCCGGCAACGAGCGCAACCCACGCUGUUAGUUACCAUCAGGUAAUGCUGGGGACUCUAACAGGACUGCCCGUGCUAAGCGCGAGGAAGGCGUGGACGACGUCAAGUCCGCAUGGCCCUUACGCCCAGGGCUGCACACGUGCUACAAUGGCCGAUACAGAGGGUCGCCACUCUGCGAGUAUAGAGCUAAUCCCGAAAACCGGCCUCAGUUCGGAUUG